This 312-nucleotide ribosomal RNA is filed under the name uncultured bacterium. RNAcentral describes it as "bacterial SSU rRNA". It matches the Rfam family "Bacterial small subunit ribosomal RNA", at positions 335 to 637 of the family's 1533-position model. The record is from RNAcentral.
ACUCCUACGGGAGGCAGCAGUGGGAAUAUUGCACAAUGGGGGAAACCCUGAUGCAGCCAUGCCCGCGUGUGUGAAGAAGGCCUUCGGGUUGUAAAGCACUUUCAGUAGGGAGGAAGGUAGUGGUAGUUAACACCUGCAUUAUUUGAUCGUUACCUACAGAAGAAGCACCGGCUAACUCCGUGCCAGCAGCCGCGGUAAUACGGAGGGUGCGAGCGUUAAUCGGAAUUACUGGGCGUAAAGCGCAUGCAGGCGGCCUGUUAAGUCAGAUGUGAAAGCCCGGGGCUUAACCUCGGAAUUGCAUUUGAAACUGGC